RNAcentral lists this ribosomal RNA (253 nucleotides) under uncultured bacterium. RNAcentral describes it as "partial 16S ribosomal RNA". It matches the Rfam family "Bacterial small subunit ribosomal RNA", at positions 524 to 776 of the family's 1533-position model. The record is from RNAcentral.
UACGUAGGAUGCAAGCGUUGUCCGGAUUUAUUGGGCGUAAAGCGAACGUAGGCGGUUACUUAAGUUCGGUCUUAAAGACCGGGGCUCAACCCCGGGAGUGGAUUGAAUACUGGGUAGCUAGAGGAUGUCAGAGGAAAGUGGAAUUCCAAGUGUAGCGGUGAAAUGCGUAGAUAUUUGGAGGAACACCAGUGGCGAAAGCGGCUUUCUGGGGCAUUCCUGACGCUGAGGUUCGAAAGCUCGGGGAGCAAACAGG